This 497-nucleotide ribosomal RNA is filed under the name uncultured bacterium. RNAcentral describes it as "partial 16S ribosomal RNA". It matches the Rfam family "Bacterial small subunit ribosomal RNA", at positions 28 to 507 of the family's 1533-position model. The record is from RNAcentral.
GAUGAACGCUGGCGGCGUGCCUAAUACAUGCAAGUCGAGCGAACAGACGAGGAGCUUGCUCCUCUGACGUUAGCGGCGGACGGGUGAGUAACACGUGGAUAACCUACCUAUAAGACUGGGAUAACUUCGGGAAACCGGAGCUAAUACCGGAUAUUCUAUUGAACCGCUUGUUUCAUUAUUGAAAGACGUUUUUUCUGUCACUUAUAGUUGGAUCCGCGCCGCAUUAGCUAGUUGUUAAGGUAACGGCUUACCAAGGCAACGAUGCGUAGCCGACCUGAGAGGGUGAUCGGCCACACUGGAACUGAGACACGGUCCAGACUCCUACGGGAGGCAGCAGUAGGGAAUCUUCCGCAAUGGGCGAAAGCCUGACGGAGCAACGCCGCGUGAGUGAUGAAGGUCUUCGGAUCGUAAAACUCUGUUAUUAGGGAAGAACAAAUGUGUAAGUAACUAUGCACGUCUUGACGGUACCUAAUCAGAAAGCCACGGCUAACUACGUG